This 320-nucleotide ribosomal RNA is filed under the name uncultured Prevotella sp. RNAcentral describes it as "partial 16S ribosomal RNA". Lineage: Bacteria; Pseudomonadati; Bacteroidota; Bacteroidia; Bacteroidales; Prevotellaceae. The record is from RNAcentral.
GGAGUUUGGACCGUGUCUCAGUUCCAAUGUGGGGGACCUUCCUCUCAGAACCCCUACUGAUCGUCGGCUAGGUGGGCCGUUACCCCGCCUACUACCUAAUCAGACGCAUCCCCAUCCAUCACCAAUGAAUCUUUACUCCUCGUUAGAUGUCUGCAAAGGAGACCAUCAGGUAUUAAUUCGCCUUUCGGCGGGCUAUCCCUGAGUGAUGGGAAGGUUGGAUACGCGUUACUCACCCGUGCGCCGGUCGUCAUCUGGCUGAGCAAGCUCAGCCAAUGUUACCCCUCGACUUGCAUGUGUUAAGCCUGUAGCUAGCGUUCAUC